This 2911-nucleotide ribosomal RNA is filed under the name Escherichia coli. Its description in RNAcentral is "23S ribosomal RNA". It matches the Rfam family "Bacterial large subunit ribosomal RNA". Lineage: Bacteria; Pseudomonadati; Pseudomonadota; Gammaproteobacteria; Enterobacterales; Enterobacteriaceae. The record is from RNAcentral.
UUAAGCGACUAAGCGUACACGGUGGAUGCCCACGGCAGUCAGAGGCGAUGAAGGACGUGCUAAUCUGCGAUAAGCGUCGGUAAGGUGAUAUGAACCGUUAUAACCGGCGAUUUCCGAAUGGGGAAACCCAGUGUGUUUCGACACACUAUCAUUAACUGAAUCCAUAGGUUAAUGAGGCGAACCGGGGGAACUGAAACAUCUAAGUACCCCGAGGAAAAGAAAUCAACCGAGAUUCCCCCAGUAGCGGCGAGCGAACGGGGAGCAGCCCAGAGCCUGAAUCAGUGUGUGUGUUAGUGGAAGCGUCUGGAAAGGCGCGCGAUACAGGGUGACAGCCCCGUACACAAAAAUGCACAUGCUGUGAGCUCGAUGAGUAGGGCGGGACACGUGGUAUCCUGUCUGAAUAUGGGGGGACCAUCCUCCAAGGCUAAAUACUCCUGACUGACCGAUAGUGAACCAGUACCGUGAGGGAAAGGCGAAAAAGAACCCCCGGCGAGGGGAGUGAAAAAGAACCUGAAACCGUGUACGUACAAGCAGUGGGAGCACGCUUAGGCGUGUGACUGCGUACCUUUUGUAUAAUGGGUCAGCGACUUAUAUUCUGUAGCAAGGUUAACCGAAUAGGGGAGCCGAAGGGAAACCGAGUCUUAACUGGGCGUUAAGUUGCAGGGUAUAGACCCGAAACCCGGUGAUCUAGCCAUGGGCAGGUUGAAGGUUGGGUAACACUAACUGGAGGACCGAACCGACUAAUGUUGAAAAAAUUAGCGGAUGACUUGUGGCUGGGGGGUGAAAGGCCAAUCAAACCGGGAGAUAGCUGGUUCUCCCCGAAAGCUAUUUAGGUAGCGCCUCGUGAAUUCAUCUCCGGGGGUAGAGCACUGUUUCGGCAAGGGGGUCAUCCCGACUUACCAACCCGAUGCAAACUGCGAAUACCGGAGAAUGUUAUCACGGGAGACACACGGCGGGUGCUAACGUCCGUCGUGAAGAGGGAAACAACCCAGACCGCCAGCUAAGGUCCCAAAGUCAUGGUUAAGUGGGAAACGAUGUGGGAAGGCCCAGACAGCCAGGAUGUUGGCUUAGAAGCAGCCAUCAUUUAAAGAAAGCGUAAUAGCUCACUGGUCGAGUCGGCCUGCGCGGAAGAUGUAACGGGGCUAAACCAUGCACCGAAGCUGCGGCAGCGACGCUGAUGCGUUGUUGGGUAGGGGAGCGUUCUGUAAGCCUGCGAAGGUGUGCUGUGAGGCAUGCUGGAGGUAUCAGAAGUGCGAAUGCUGACAUAAGUAACGAUAAAGCGGGUGAAAAGCCCGCUCGCCGGAAGACCAAGGGUUCCUGUCCAACGUUAAUCGGGGCAGGGUGAGUCGACCCCUAAGGCGAGGCCGAAAGGCGUAGUCGAUGGGAAACAGGUUAAUAUUCCUGUACUUGGUGUUACUGCGAAGGGGGGACGGAGAAGGCUAUGUUGGCCGGGCGACGGUUGUCCCGGUUUAAGCGUGUAGGCUGGUUUUCCGAGCAAAUCCGGAAAAUCAAGGCUGAGGCGUGAUGACGAGGCACUACGGUGCUGAAGCAACAAAUGCCCUGCUUCCGGGGAAAAGCCUCUAAGCAUCAGGUAACAUCAAAUCGUACCCCCAAACCGACACAGGUGGUCAGGUAGAGAAUACCAAGGCGCUUGAGAGAACUCGGGUGAAGGAACUAGGCAAAAUGGUGCCGUAACUUCGGGAGAAGGCACGCUGAUAUGUAGGUGAAGUCCCUCGCGGAUGGAGCUGAAAUCAGUCGAAGAUACCAGCUGGCUGCAACUGUUUAUUAAAAACACAGCACUGUGCAAACACGAAAGUGGACGUAUACGGUGUGACGCCUGCCCGGUGCCGGAAGGUUAAUUGAUGGGGUUAGCCGCAAGGCGAAGCUCUUGAUCGAAGCCCCGGUAAACGGCGGCCGUAACUAUAACGGUCCUAAGGUAGCGAAAUUCCUUGUCGGGUAAGUUCCGACCUGCACGAAUGGCGUAAUGAUGGCCAGGCUGUCUCCACCCGAGACUCAGUGAAAUUGAACUCGCUGUGAAGAUGCAGUGUACCCGCGGCAAGACGGAAAGACCCCGUGAACCUUUACUAUAGCUUGACACUGAACAUUGAGCCUUGAUGUGUAGGAUAGGUGGGAGGCUUUGAAGUGUGGACGCCAGUCUGCAUGGAGCCGACCUUGAAAUACCACCCUUUAAUGUUUGAUGUUCUAACGUUGACCCGUAAUCCGGGUUGCGGACAGUGUCUGGUGGGUAGUUUGACUGGGGGCGGUCUCCUCCUAAAGAGUAACGGAGGAGCACGAAGGUUGGCUAAUCCUGGUCGGACAUCAGGAGGUUAGUGCAAUGGCAUAAGCCAGCUUGACUGCGAGCGUGACGGCGCGAGCAGGUGCGAAAGCAGGUCAUAGUGAUCCGGUGGUUCUGAAUGGAAGGGCCAUCGCUCAACGGAUAAAAGGUACUCCGGGGAUAACAGGCUGAUACCGCCCAAGAGUUCAUAUCGACGGCGGUGUUUGGCACCUCGAUGUCGGCUCAUCACAUCCCGGGGCUGAAGUAGGUCCCAAGGGUAUGGCUGUUCGCCAUUUAAAGUGGUACGCGAGCUGGGUUUAGAACGUCGUGAGACAGUUCGGUCCCUAUCUGCCGUGGGCGCUGGAGAACUGAGGGGGGCUGCUCCUAGUACGAGAGGACCGGAGUGGACGCAUCACUGGUGUUCGGGUUGUCAUGCCAAUGGCACUGCCCGGUAGCUAAAUGCGGAAGAGAUAAGUGCUGAAAGCAUCUAAGCACGAAACUUGCCCCGAGAUGAGUUCUCCCUGACCCUUUAAGGGUCCUGAAGGAACGUUGAAGACGACGACGUUGAUAGGCCGGGUGUGUAAGCGCAGCGAUGCGUUGAGCUAACCGGUACUAAUGAACCGUGAGGCUUAACCU